CUGCAUCUUAAUAUUAUAAUGCGGCACCAAAAGCAAAACCCGAAGUCCCGGCUUGCAAGGCCCUAACAAGAAACACAUUGUGCACUUUCCCCCCCCCCUCUUUUUGGCCGAAGCCACGUUUGCGCGGAGGCUUCGACGCCGGGCGCCAAGUCCAUGACUUCAGUGGGGAGGAACCCGCCCUUCCCGCACCACGUGCGCCCUCGGCCCGGCGGCCACCCGCCGCCCUGUCCCGCCCGCCUGGUCAGGGGCUCGGCCGGACUCUGACAUGCGUCCUGUGCCCGUGGCCCUCUGGGCACUGCUCCUUCCUGAGCCGGGAGGCGGGCGCUGCCCGUCACCCCUGGCGCUGGUGGCACCCAGGCAGCGCCCGUGCGGGUCGUUCUAAUCUCUGCCCUCUCAGGUUUGCUGGUGGAGAGACUUUUGUUUUUAACAUAGUUUGACACCCUUCUCUUCCACAUCCCUGCCCACACGUUUUUAAGGCUUUCACCCCCAGAUUCUUCCCUGCUCCUCUAUGACAAUGUACAGACCUCCUCCUUCCCAAUUAGAGGGAAAUCGCAGGAGGGUUCUGUAAGCCCCCAGCCACUCUGUCUGCGGGGAGAGUUCAGGACCUAGGGCUGAGUCCUCAGGGAGGUGAGUGUUGGGGACCCUGACCUGUAGGGACUUCUCUGGAGGAGCAGCCCCUGGGCAUCUGUGGUCAGUUCUGUGGAGGUCCUGCCGUCUUCCCAGUGAAUUUUAUUUUAACCAUGCCUGCUUUCCCCAGAGUCUGUGUGAAGAACACAGAGACAUUCCAUUUCAAGCGAAAAACGGCAACAGGGUGUCCCUCUUUCAGGGUAGGUUAAACAUUCACAGUGGGUGGGAAUAACUAAUCCUAUACAAGCCUGGUCACAGCUCACCUGUCCUCUUUACUUUGACCCCAUCAGUUAGGAAAGGCAGACGCUGUCCCCAUUUUACUGAGGAAGAAACUGAGGCACAGAUGGAUGACAGAAUCCUCUGUGGGCCCAUACUCCCUAGAAUUCAUCAUCCCUGUGGUGAUGCAGAGGUGUGUGACCUGCACACCAGGUUGGUGCUGAAUACUUUCUUACCUUGAAAUUUGUUCCAGUCCUAAGGGCUGGAUUGCCCAGAGCCAGGAAUUUGUAAACACUUUGUUCUCACCUUUCUCAGAAGUUAACACUGAAUGACUGAGCUUCACCCUUUAUUAACAAAAGGUUAACUAGGAUCUGAGGACUUUUCAAACCUUCCCAUAUGUAAGAAUCACCUCCACACGCCAAAGCCUGGGGCCCACCUCUAGCAGUUCUGGUUCAGUGCAUUUGGUGAGCAGCCCAGCAAACAGCCCUUUCAACAAGCAUCUUGUGGAGAUGCUGAUGCAAGUAGUUCAGGGACCACAGCUGAGACACUUCAGUUGUGUUUUGUGAGCAACAUCGAUGGGACAAUGGAGCAUGUGCUGGGGGCUGGAAGCCUGGCCCAUAUGCGGUCCCACCUCCCUGCCUCCCUGGGACAAGGUCUCUGGUAGCUUCUGAGGUUGCUACUUUCGAAGGAUGCUCGCCACUGGACCAAGCUUCCCAGUGUUCAUGCUGUGUGUCAGCCCCUCCCAGACUGGACAUGGGCCAGCCCUGUGCACCCAGCAGAUUGCAGGGGACAUGAAGCUGUGUGACUUCCCAAGUUAGGUCAGAAGAAGCUUUUUAGUUUUCAUUUUGGCUUCUUGGCUUCUCUCUUACAAUCACCAUGGAAGAAAUCUGGACCUCUGUGACAUCACCGUGCUGUGAGGAAGUCCAAGUUCGCCAUGUGAAGAGGCCACACAGACAGGAAUAAGGGUGGGGCCGGCCCCAGUUUCCCCAGACAUCCCAGCUAAGCACUUGAUUGUGAGUUAAGAAGAUACCUUGGAUGUCCAGCCCAGAAAAGCCUUAAGAUGACCCCAUCCCAACCACCAACCGACAGCCGCUAUGUAAGAGGCCCCAAAGGAGACUGCCCACUGGAGUCCAAGCACCAAGACUGUGAGAGAAGAAAUUGUUGUCUGGAGCCGCUGAGUUUCAGAGUGGUCUGUUGCAUUGAUAACUGAAGGGGAGGGCAGAGUGAUUCGGAGUUUCUAAGUAUGAUCUUGUGCAUGCAUUGUAGUUAUAAUCCUUGAUAGCUUAUUUGGGUUUUUGUCCCCCUGAAAGUUUUAUAAGAACAAAUCAUUUAUAAUGCUUAAAAUAAACAUUCCCAUAUUCAACAAAAGUACCUUUAUUUUGAAAGAAAUACAUGUUUUAUUUGAUGUCCUAGUGUGUAGUACAUACUCAGGUAUAUAGCGUGGGUGUUUUUUCAAAGCAGUCAGAACCCCUACCAACUUUCCUCCAAGGUAUAGAAUUUAUAACCAUACGUGAUGAGUAUAUUUUUUGAACCCAAACCAAGUAGGAUAAAUGGCCUGACUGACUCCGGGGCCCUGUAGAGGAUGGGAGAGCUGAGCGAUUGAGGAGGGUAGCCAUGUGUGGACCACACAGCUUCCUAGUGAGGGAAUAAGAGCAUCUGGUGCUUCCAGAUACUGUAUCAUAGAAACAUCUCAGAGGCGUCACUUCAUGUCAUCAAGACUUUAAGGUAAUUUUGACACUUUUUCUUUGGGACAUCAAGAGUUUGAGUGUGUGGCGAUUAUGCUUUCUAGUUAGGACAAGGCUGUUUAUCCCAUUGCCUUGUUGAUUUGACUCCAGGGCCUCCUGCUAUACUGUUUACCCUGUGGAAGACACCGCUGGCGUGAAGACUGCGAAGGUUGACGACAGAAAAAGGGGGCUGGGAGCCCCGCAGGCAGAAGCUCUUGGCAGCUGCCAAAAAGCCCCCAUGACACUAUCCCAGUGUGGUCAUUUCUG
This 2834-nucleotide long non-coding RNA is filed under the name Equus asinus (donkey). RNAcentral's name for it is "lncRNA (ENSEASG00005033105.1)". The record is from RNAcentral. Lineage: Eukaryota; Metazoa; Chordata; Mammalia; Perissodactyla; Equidae.